RNAcentral lists this ribosomal RNA (503 nucleotides) under uncultured Lactobacillus sp. RNAcentral's name for it is "bacterial SSU rRNA". It matches the Rfam family "Bacterial small subunit ribosomal RNA", at positions 40 to 507 of the family's 1533-position model. The record is from RNAcentral. Lineage: Bacteria; Bacillati; Bacillota; Bacilli; Lactobacillales; Lactobacillaceae.
GGGCGUGCCUAAUACAUGCAAGUCGAACGAGUUCUCGUUGAAUCUCGGUGCUUGCACCGAGAUUCAACAUGGAACGAGUGGCGGACGGGUGAGUAACACGUGGGUAACCUGCCCUUAAGUGGGGGAUAACAUUUGGAAACAGAUGCUAAUACCGCAUAGAUCCAAGAACCGCAUGGUUCUUGGCUGAAAGAUGGCGUAAGCUAUCGCUUUUGGAUGGACCCGCGGCGUAUUAGCUAGUUGGUGAGGUAAUGGCUCACCAAGGCGAUGAUACGUAGCCGAACUGAGAGGUUGAUCGGCCACAUUGGGACUGAGACACGGCCCAAACUCCUACGGGAGGCAGCAGUAGGGAAUCUUCCACAAUGGACGCAAGUCUGAUGGAGCAACGCCGCGUGAGUGAAGAAGACUUUCGGGUCGUAAAACUCUGUUGUUGGAGAAGAAUGGUCGGCAGAGUAACUGUUGUCGGCGUGACGGUAUCCAACCAGAAAGCCACGGCUAACUACGUG